AUUAGGGGCUUUGAAAUCAAUACAGUGCAAAAAGCCUCAGUGGAUGAUUCUCAUCAUUAGAAUGAAACGCAUCCACAUGUGUGCUCUCUCUCUCUCUCUCUCUCUCUCUCCCUCAUUCCUUCAAUGCGCAGAGGUCUAGCUAUGGCAUUUUGAUGUCAAUUCAGCUUGGAGCUCCGUGUUGCGGAGAGCAUCACUUGGUGUAAUUCUCCGGUGUAGUAUCCAAAUGCUCGAGUGUUGUAGGAGUCUUUUUACUUCAUGCGGUGUAUGAUUACAAAUGAAGCCCCCUUGUACGUUGCAAUGUGUAUCCAGCUAACCACGGUGUUCUUCCGAUCGGAAAUAUUUGUUAGUGUAGUUUCGUGACGAUGA
Non-coding RNA from Physcomitrium patens, 366 nucleotides. NCBI's taxonomy places the organism in Eukaryota, Viridiplantae, Streptophyta, Bryopsida, Funariales, Funariaceae. The record is from RefSeq and is a predicted model, not a curated record.